GACGAACGCUGGCGGCGUGCUUAACACAUGCAAGUCGAACGGAAAGGCCUGCUUUCCCUUGUGGAUUGCGGGUACUCGAGUGGCGAACGGGUGAGUAACACGUGAGUGAUCUGCCCCCAACUUGGGUAUAAGCCUGGGAAACUGGGUCUAAUUCCCGAUAGGACUGCAGGGUGGUGCCUGUGGUGGAAAACGAUUUUCUAGUGGUUGGGGAUGAGCUCGCGGCCUAUCAGCUUGUUGGUGGGGUAAUGGCCUACCAAGGCGGCGACGGGUAGCCGGCCUGAGAGGGUGGACGGCCACAUUGGGACUGAGAUACGGCCCAGACUCCUACGGGAGGCAGCAGUGGGGAAUAUUGCACAAUGGGCGGAAGCCUGAGGCAGCGACGCAGCGUGGGGGAUGACGGCCUUCGGGUUGUAAACUCCUUUCGACCGCGAGGAAGCCACCUGGUUGGAAGGGUGGUGACGGUAGUGGUAGAAGAAGCACCGGCUAACUACGUG
Molecule: ribosomal RNA, 494 nt
Filed under: uncultured bacterium
Lineage: Bacteria
Description: partial 16S ribosomal RNA
Rfam family: Bacterial small subunit ribosomal RNA
Source: RNAcentral